UCCGCCGCCGCCGCCUGAAGUGGACAUCGGUGGGGAAGGGCUCGCCAAACUCAUUCACCCGGACAGCUCGAAGAAGCAUACCAACAACCGAAGAAUCCCCCAUGUGACGGUUUUUAUGGCAGUUGUUUUCUUCGGCAUUUCUCAGAUACGAGGCACUUAAAGCAACUUUUGUUUAGGCUUAUUCUUAUGUUGUGCAGUUUUCAGGCACCCUGAGGGAAAAGAAAGAUGAUUUCCUUAUCUGAGUUUAUUUUGUUUUGUAUUACAAUUUGGAACUUUUCUAUAAAAAUUUCAGACAUC
This is a long non-coding RNA of Gymnogyps californianus (California condor), 297 nucleotides long. RefSeq lists it as uncharacterized. Lineage: Eukaryota; Metazoa; Chordata; Aves; Accipitriformes; Cathartidae. The record is from RefSeq and is a predicted model, not a curated record. The transcript has 2 exons.